RNAcentral lists this transfer RNA (63 nucleotides) under Dipodomys ordii (Ord's kangaroo rat). It matches the Rfam family "tRNA". From Rfam's summary of the family: Transfer RNA (tRNA) molecules are approximately 80 nucleotides in length. The record is from Rfam by way of RNAcentral. Lineage: Eukaryota; Metazoa; Chordata; Mammalia; Rodentia; Heteromyidae.
GGGAAUGUGGCUCAGUGGCAGAGUGCUUGCCUUGCAUGCAUGAAGUCCUGGGUUGCAUUCCUC